RNAcentral lists this RNase P RNA (361 nucleotides) under Desulfobacteraceae bacterium. Its description in RNAcentral is "RNase P RNA component class A". It matches the Rfam family "Bacterial RNase P class A". Rfam says of the family: Ribonuclease P (RNase P) is a ubiquitous endoribonuclease, found in archaea, bacteria and eukarya as well as chloroplasts and mitochondria. Its best characterised activity is the generation of mature 5'-ends of tRNAs by cleaving the 5'-leader elements of precursor-tRNAs. Lineage: Bacteria; Pseudomonadati; Thermodesulfobacteriota; Desulfobacteria; Desulfobacterales; Desulfobacteraceae. The record is from RNAcentral.
AGAGUAGGACAAAUGACCGCUGCCUUGCUAUCCGGCAAGGGGGAGGAAAGUCCGGGCUCNNNNNNNNNNNCGGGAAGGAAAGUGCCACAGAAAGGAAACCGCCAGGUGCUCACUGAUCUGGGUGCCGGGUAAGGGUGAAAGGGUGAGGUAAGAGCUCACCAGUCUCGGCGGUGACGCCGGGAGCUAGGUAAACCCCGCCUGGAGCAAGACCAAAUAGGGGAACGUUUGAGGGUAGUCCGCCCGAGUUCCCGGGUAGGUCGCUUGAUCUCGAUGGUAACAUCGAGACUAGAUGAAUGGUCAUUGUCCUGAAAGUGGGUGACCACUUCGGGAAACAGAAUCCGGCUUAUGGCCUGCUCUGACA